Molecule: ribosomal RNA, 504 nt
Filed under: uncultured bacterium
Lineage: Bacteria
Description: partial 16S ribosomal RNA
Rfam family: Bacterial small subunit ribosomal RNA
Source: RNAcentral
GACGAACGCUGGCGGCGUGCUUAACACAUGCAAGUCGAACGGUGAAGCGCUUGCCUUUUUGGUGGGUAUGGAUGAGUGGCGAACGGGUGAGUAACACGUGAGUAACCUGCCCUCUUCUUCUGGAUAACCUCAUGAAAGUGGGGCUAAUACGGGGUAUUCCGGGUCUGUCGCAUGGCGGGUUUGGGAAAGAUUGCGCCUUUGGGUGUUUUCGGUGGGGGAUGGGCUCGCGGCCUAUCAGCUUGUUGGUGGGGUGAUGGCCUACCAAGGCGGUGACGGGUAGCCGGCCUGAGAGGGUGGACGGCCACACUGGGACUGAGACACGGCCCAGACUCCUGCGGGAGGCAGCAGUGGGGAAUAUUGCACAAUGGGCGCAAGCCUGAUGCAGCGACGCCGCGUGAGGGAUGGAGGCCUUCGGGUUGUGAACCUCUUUCGCCAGUGAAGCAGGCCUGCUCCUGUGUGGGUGGGUUGACGGUAGCUGGAUAAGAAGCGCCGGCUAACUACGUG